Molecule: ribosomal RNA, 253 nt
Filed under: uncultured bacterium
Lineage: Bacteria
Description: partial 16S ribosomal RNA
Rfam family: Bacterial small subunit ribosomal RNA
Source: RNAcentral
UACGUAGGGUGCGAGCGUUGUUCGGAAUUACUGGGCGUAAAGGGUUCGUAGGUGGCCAACUUAGUCAGACGUGAAAUCCCUCAGCUUAACUGGGGAACUGCGUCUGAUACUGGAUGGCUCGAGUGCAGGAGAGGAACGCGGAAUUCCAGGUGUAGCGGUGAAAUGCGUAGAUAUCUGGAGGAACACCGGUGGCGAAGGCGGCGUUCUGGGUGGUGACUGACGCUGAGGCGCGAAAGCGUGGGGAGCAAACAGG